Long non-coding RNA from Haliotis rubra (blacklip abalone), 317 nucleotides. RefSeq lists it as uncharacterized. Lineage: Eukaryota; Metazoa; Mollusca; Gastropoda; Lepetellida; Haliotidae. The transcript is spliced from 3 exons. The record is from RefSeq and is a predicted model, not a curated record.
CCUUGGACAGACAGGUUGUUCUAGGCAAGUGUAAUGGUGAGUUCAGUGAGCCACUCUUCCCCAUGUUUAGUGCUGGGCCGCCGGUAUUCCUUGACCACACUCUGUCCAUGAGUCUGAUCAGCGGGGAGGACAUCGACAUGACUGACACAAAGAAGACUCUCUCAUCUACCAAGCGCUGGAAUAGAAAAAUUAACUGGCCAUGAAACUGUGAAAUCGGCCAUGAGACUGUGUGAAGUCAGCCAUGAGGUUGUGUGAAGUUAUCUGUGUAACGGAGAUAUUUCUAUCAACUGUUUCAAGGAAAGUGAGAGAGCGGAAGA